AGCGUACACGGUGGAUGCCCUGGCAGUCAGAGGCGAUGAAGGACGUGCUAAUCUGCGAUAAGCGUCGGUAAGGUGAUAUGAACCGUUAUAACCGGCGAUUUCCGAAUGGGGAAACCCAGUGUGUUUCGACACACUAUCAUUAACUGAAUCCAUAGGUUAAUGAGGCGAACCGGGGGAACUGAAACAUCUAAGUACCCCGAGGAAAAGAAAUCAACCGAGAUUCCCCCAGUAGCGGCGAGCGAACGGGGAGGAGCCCAGAGCCUGAAUCAGUGUGUGUGUUAGUGGAAGCGUCUGGAAAGGCGCGCGAUACAGGGUGACAGCCCCGUACACAAAAAUGCACAUGCUGUGAGCUCGAUGAGUAGGGCGGGACACGUGGUAUCCUGUCUGAAUAUGGGGGGACCAUCCUCCAAGGCUAAAUACUCCUGACUGACCGAUAGUGAACCAGUACCGUGAGGGAAAGGCGAAAAGAACCCCGGCGAGGGGAGUGAAAAAGAACCUGAAACCGUGUACGUACAAGCAGUGGGAGCACGCUUAGGCGUGUGACUGCGUACCUUUUGUAUAAUGGGUCAGCGACUUAUAUUCUGUAGCAAGGUUAACCGAAUAGGGGAGCCGAAGGGAAACCGAGUCUUAACUGGGCGUUAAGUUGCAGGGUAUAGACCCGAAACCCGGUGAUCUAGCCAUGGGCAGGUUGAAGGUUGGGUAACACUAACUGGAGGACCGAACCGACUAAUGUUGAAAAAUUAGCGGAUGACUUGUGGCUGGGGGUGAAAGGCCAAUCAAACCGGGAGAUAGCUGGUUCUCCCCGAAAGCUAUUUAGGUAGCGCCUCGUGAAUUCAUCUCCGGGGGUAGAGCACUGUUUCGGCAAGGGGGUCAUCCCGACUUACCAACCCGAUGCAAACUGCGAAUACCGGAGAAUGUUAUCACGGGAGACACACGGCGGGUGCUAACGUCCGUCGUGAAGAGGGAAACAACCCAGACCGCCAGCUAAGGUCCCAAAGUCAUGGUUAAGUGGGAAACGAUGUGGGAAGGCCCAGACAGCCAGGAUGUUGGCUUAGAAGCAGCCAUCAUUUAAAGAAAGCGUAAUAGCUCACUGGUCGAGUCGGCCUGCGCGGAAGAUGUAACGGGGCUAAACCAUGCACCGAAGCUGCGGCAGCGACGCUUAUGCGUUGUUGGGUAGGGGAGCGUUCUGUAAGCCUGUGAAGGUGUGCUGUGAGGCAUGCUGGAGGUAUCAGAAGUGCGAAUGCUGACAUAAGUAACGAUAAAGCGGGUGAAAAGCCCGCUCGCCGGAAGACCAAGGGUUCCUGUCCAACGUUAAUCGGGGCAGGGUGAGUCGACCCCUAAGGCGAGGCCGAAAGGCGUAGUCGAUGGGAAACAGGUUAAUAUUCCUGUACUUGGUGUUACUGCGAAGGGGGGACGGAGAAGGCUAUGUUGGCCGGGCGACGGUUGUCCCGGUUUAAGCGUGUAGGCUGGUUUUCCAGGCAAAUCCGGAAAAUCAAGGCUGAGGCGUGAUGACGAGGCACUACGGUGCUGAAGCAACAAAUGCCCUGCUUCCAGGAAAAGCCUCUAAGCAUCAGGUAACAUCAAAUCGUACCCCAAACCGACACAGGUGGUCAGGUAGAGAAUACCAAGGCGCUUGAGAGAACUCGGGUGAAGGAACUAGGCAAAAUGGUGCCGUAACUUCGGGAGAAGGCACGCUGAUAUGUAGGUGAAGCGACUUGCUCGUGGAGCUGAAAUCAGUCGAAGAUACCAGCUGGCUGCAACUGUUUAUUAAAAACACAGCACUGUGCAAACACGAAAGUGGACGUAUACGGUGUGACGCCUGCCCGGUGCCGGAAGGUUAAUUGAUGGGGUUAGCGCAAGCGAAGCUCUUGAUCGAAGCCCCGGUAAACGGCGGCCGUAACUAUAACGGUCCUAAGGUAGCGAAAUUCCUUGUCGGGUAAGUUCCGACCUGCACGAAUGGCGUAAUGAUGGCCAGGCUGUCUCCACCCGAGACUCAGUGAAAUUGAACUCGCUGUGAAGAUGCAGUGUACCCGCGGCAAGACGGAAAGACCCCGUGAACCUUUACUAUAGCUUGACACUGAACAUUGAGCCUUGAUGUGUAGGAUAGGUGGGAGGCUUAGAAGUGUGGACGCCAGUCUGCAUGGAGCCGACCUUGAAAUACCACCCUUUAAUGUUUGAUGUUCUAACGUUGACCCGUAAUCCGGGUUGCGGACAGUGUCUGGUGGGUAGUUUGACUGGGGCGGUCUCCUCCUAAAGAGUAACGGAGGAGCACGAAGGUUGGCUAAUCCUGGUCGGACAUCAGGAGGUUAGUGCAAUGGCAUAAGCCAGCUUGACUGCGAGCGUGACGGCGCGAGCAGGUGCGAAAGCAGGUCAUAGUGAUCCGGUGGUUCUGAAUGGAAGGGCCAUCGCUCAACGGAUAAAAGGUACUCCGGGGAUAACAGGCUGAUACCGCCCAAGAGUUCAUAUCGACGGCGGUGUUUGGCACCUCGAUGUCGGCUCAUCACAUCCUGGGGCUGAAGUAGGUCCCAAGGGUAUGGCUGUUCGCCAUUUAAAGUGGUACGCGAGCUGGGUUUAGAACGUCGUGAGACAGUUCGGUCCCUAUCUGCCGUGGGCGCUGGAGAACUGAGGGGGGCUGCUCCUAGUACGAGAGGACCGGAGUGGACGCAUCACUGGUGUUCGGGUUGUCAUGCCAAUGGCACUGCCCGGUAGCUAAAUGCGGAAGAGAUAAGUGCUGAAAGCAUCUAAGCACGAAACUUGCCCCGAGAUGAGUUCUCCCUGACUCCUUGA
RNAcentral lists this ribosomal RNA (2787 nucleotides) under Escherichia coli. RNAcentral describes it as "bacterial LSU rRNA". It matches the Rfam family "Bacterial large subunit ribosomal RNA". Lineage: Bacteria; Pseudomonadati; Pseudomonadota; Gammaproteobacteria; Enterobacterales; Enterobacteriaceae. The record is from RNAcentral.